RNAcentral lists this transfer RNA (69 nucleotides) under Eutypa lata UCREL1. Its description in RNAcentral is "tRNA-Gly (CCC) (tRNA-Gly-CCC-4-1)". It matches the Rfam family "tRNA". From Rfam's summary of the family: Transfer RNA (tRNA) molecules are approximately 80 nucleotides in length. Their secondary structure includes four short double-helical elements and three loops (D, anti-codon, and T loops). Lineage: Eukaryota; Fungi; Ascomycota; Sordariomycetes; Xylariales; Diatrypaceae. The record is from RNAcentral.
GCCAGGUUAGUGUAGUGGUAACACAUCUUCGCCCUAAAGAAGACCCAGGUUCGAAUCCUGGACCAGGCA